RNAcentral lists this non-coding RNA (24 nucleotides) under Cricetulus griseus (Chinese hamster). The record is from RNAcentral. Lineage: Eukaryota; Metazoa; Chordata; Mammalia; Rodentia; Cricetidae.
ACUUGCAGAGCCCAAGUGGUUGAG